GACGGUCCUCUGUCCUCGAGGGAACUGAACAGUGACAAGCAGGACCAAUGGAAAGAAGAUCGAAAAGGUGAGUCGUCUAUAGGUGAGGAAAGGUGAGUCGUCUAUAGGUGAGGAAAGGUGAGUCGUCUAUAGGUGAGGAAAGGUGAGUCGUCUAUAGGUGAGGAAAGGUGAGUCGUCUAUAGGUGAGGAAAGGUGAGUCGUCUAUAGGUGAGGAAAGGUGAGUCGUCUAUAGGUGAGGAAAGGUGAGUCGUCUAUAGGUGAGGAAAGGUGAGUCGUCUAUAGGUGAGGAAAGGUGAGUCGUCUAUAGGUGAGGAAAGGUGAGUCGUCUAUAGGUGAGGAAAGGUGAGUCGUCUAUAGGUGAGGAAAGGUGAGUCGUCUAUAGGUGAGGAAAGGUGAGUCGUCUAUAGGUGAGGAAAGGUGAGUAGUCUAUAGGUGAGGAAAGGUGAGUCGUCUAUAGGUGAGGAAAGGUGAGUAGUCUAUAGGUGAGGAAAGGUGAGUAGUCUAUAGGAUAGGAAAGGUGAG
Long non-coding RNA from Oncorhynchus keta (chum salmon), 522 nucleotides. RefSeq lists it as uncharacterized. Lineage: Eukaryota; Metazoa; Chordata; Actinopteri; Salmoniformes; Salmonidae. The transcript has 4 exons. The record is from RefSeq and is a predicted model, not a curated record.